RNAcentral lists this unclassified non-coding RNA (371 nucleotides) under uncultured bacterium. Its description in RNAcentral is "contains 16S-23S intergenic spacer region". The record is from RNAcentral.
UCCGCUUUACAGCGGCUGUUUGUUCCGAGUCCCCGACUUUACUCGCUGGUAACAGAACAUGAGGGUUGCGCUCGUUGCGGGACUUAACCCAACAUUUCACAACACGAGCUGACGACAGCCAUGCACCACCUGUGAUGCACCCUCGAAGGCGACUGCCUUUCAACAGCUUGCAGCAUCAUGUCAAGCCCUGGUAAGGUUCUUCGCGUUGCAUCGAAUUAAGCCACAUGCUCCACCGCUUGUGCGGGCCCCCGCCAAUUCCUUUGAGUUUCAACCUUGCGGCCGUAGUCCCCAGGCGGUUCACUUAAUGCGUUAGCUGCGGCACUGAGGUUUAACCCCAACACCUAGUGAACAUCGUUUAGGGCCAAGACUAC